RNAcentral lists this transfer RNA (70 nucleotides) under Bromeliohyla melacaena. RNAcentral describes it as "tRNA-Val". It matches the Rfam family "tRNA". Rfam says of the family: Transfer RNA (tRNA) molecules are approximately 80 nucleotides in length. Their secondary structure includes four short double-helical elements and three loops (D, anti-codon, and T loops). Further hydrogen bonds mediate the characteristic L-shaped molecular structure. tRNAs have two regions of fundamental functional importance: the anti-codon, which is responsible for specific mRNA codon recognition, and the 3' end, to which the tRNAs corresponding amino acid is attached (by aminoacyl-tRNA synthetases). tRNAs cope with the degeneracy of the genetic code in two manners: having more than one tRNA (with a specific anti-codon) for a particular amino acid; and 'wobble' base-pairing, i.e. permitting non-standard base-pairing at the 3rd anti-codon position. Lineage: Eukaryota; Metazoa; Chordata; Amphibia; Anura; Hylidae. The record is from RNAcentral.
CAUAAUGUAGCUUAACUUAAAGCCCUUCGAUUACACCGAAUAGAUAUCUGUUUAACUCAGAUCAUUUUGA